GCAACUCGACUACAUGAAGCUGGAAUCGCUAGUAAUCGCGAAUCAGAAUGUCGCGGUGAAUACGUUCCCGGGUCUUGUACACACCGCCCGUCACACCAUGGGAGUCAGUAACGCCCGAAGUCAGUGACCCAACCAUAAAGGAGGGAGCUGCCGAAGGUGGGACCGAUAACUGGGGUGAAGUCGUAACAAGGUAAC
RNAcentral lists this ribosomal RNA (195 nucleotides) under uncultured bacterium. RNAcentral describes it as "partial 16S ribosomal RNA". It matches the Rfam family "Bacterial small subunit ribosomal RNA", at positions 1307 to 1500 of the family's 1533-position model. The record is from RNAcentral.